UCCUUGUUAGUAUAGUGGUUAGUAUCCCCAUCUGUCACGUGGGAGACCGGGGUUCAAUUCCCGGAUGGGGAG
Molecule: transfer RNA, 72 nt
Organism: Loxodonta africana (African savanna elephant)
Lineage: Eukaryota; Metazoa; Chordata; Mammalia; Proboscidea; Elephantidae
Rfam family: tRNA
About the family: Transfer RNA (tRNA) molecules are approximately 80 nucleotides in length. Their secondary structure includes four short double-helical elements and three loops (D, anti-codon, and T loops).
Source: Rfam